GGUACGAUGCGCCUGAUCCACACCUGAAAGGGUGCGUGUAUCGGAGAGUAUCUGCCAUCCUUCUAGUUGCUGGCUGUACUUAACUGUGUGGUCAGUGUUCUAGAUCAUUUACUUUGAAAAAAUUAGAGUGUUUAAAGCAGGCUCGCGCUAUGAAUACAUUAGCAUGGAAUAAUAAUUUAGGACUUUGCUCCUAUUUUAUUGGUUUCUAGGGGUGAAGUA
RNAcentral lists this ribosomal RNA (219 nucleotides) under uncultured fungus. Its description in RNAcentral is "partial small subunit ribosomal RNA". The stretch from base 75 to 219 matches the Rfam family "Eukaryotic small subunit ribosomal RNA", at positions 718 to 864 of the family's 1831-position model. Lineage: Eukaryota; Fungi. The record is from RNAcentral.